RNAcentral lists this transfer RNA (62 nucleotides) under Benedenia seriolae. Its description in RNAcentral is "tRNA-Lys". It matches the Rfam family "tRNA". Rfam says of the family: Transfer RNA (tRNA) molecules are approximately 80 nucleotides in length. Their secondary structure includes four short double-helical elements and three loops (D, anti-codon, and T loops). Further hydrogen bonds mediate the characteristic L-shaped molecular structure. tRNAs have two regions of fundamental functional importance: the anti-codon, which is responsible for specific mRNA codon recognition, and the 3' end, to which the tRNAs corresponding amino acid is attached (by aminoacyl-tRNA synthetases). tRNAs cope with the degeneracy of the genetic code in two manners: having more than one tRNA (with a specific anti-codon) for a particular amino acid; and 'wobble' base-pairing, i.e. permitting non-standard base-pairing at the 3rd anti-codon position. Lineage: Eukaryota; Metazoa; Platyhelminthes; Monogenea; Capsalidea; Capsalidae. The record is from RNAcentral.
GAUUAUAUAACUUAAUUUAAAGUGUUAGAUUCUUACUCUAAAAAUGUUUUUAACUAUAAUUG